RNAcentral lists this ribosomal RNA (253 nucleotides) under uncultured bacterium. RNAcentral describes it as "partial 16S ribosomal RNA". It matches the Rfam family "Bacterial small subunit ribosomal RNA", at positions 524 to 776 of the family's 1533-position model. The record is from RNAcentral.
GACGGAGGAUGCAAGUGUUAUCCGGAAUCACUGGGCGUAAAGCGUCUGUAGGUGGUUUAAUAAGUCAACUGUUAAAUCUUGAGGCUCAACCUCAAAAUCGCAGUCGAAACUAUUAGGCUAGAGUAUAGUAGGGGUAAAGGGAAUUUCCAGUGGAGCGGUGAAAUGCGUAGAGAUUGGAAAGAACACCGAUGGCGAAGGCACUUUACCGGGCUAUUACUAACACUCAGAGACGAAAGCUAGGGUAGCAAAUGGG